This 202-nucleotide ribosomal RNA is filed under the name uncultured bacterium. Its description in RNAcentral is "partial 16S ribosomal RNA". It matches the Rfam family "Bacterial small subunit ribosomal RNA", at positions 568 to 774 of the family's 1533-position model. The record is from RNAcentral.
CGCGCAGGCGGUCGAUCAAGUCGAGUGUGAAAGCCCCCGGCUCAACUGGGGAGGGUCAUUCGAUACUGAUCGACUCGAAGACAGGAGAGGGUAGUGGAAUUCCCGGUGUAGUGGUGAAAUGCGUAGAUAUCGGGAGGAACACCAGUGGCGAAGGCGACUACCUGGCCUGUUCUUGACGCUGAGGCGCGAAAUGGAGGCAACG